GAACAGGAAGCGGCAUAUUACGUCAAAUGUAGCUCUAGGAUCAAUCACAUCUGCAUUUCGAUGGUCGAAUACAUGACUUGCAGCAAAGAUCAACUUCUGGUAGUGCAAACGGGAAGAGGCAGAGGCUUCAAAGUUCAUAUUCUGUUGCACGUUUAUCAGUCCCCAAGAAGGGUUCGUUUUUUGGAUGUGUUCAUGUAAGGCUUUAUGACCCACUCGAUUUGAGCUUCGUCUUGAUCCAUUGUUCCUAAUUUGAUCUGGUAAAGCCGUAGUUCAAAUCGAGGGCCAACUUCUUUCAGCUCAAUUGAUUUUGGACCUCCAUGCUUUUCAUAGACGUGAUGUCUGAAUGAGAUGUAGUCCGACUGGUUAGCAAAUGUGAGGAUACGUUUUGUAUCAGGCUUCGGAACAGGAAACAAAUGCUUUAGGAUGUUUACUGUCCUCUCACCAAGCUUAGUUGAAAAUUUGUCAAAAAUCAAAUGUGGAUACGCCUCAGACAUUGUUCCCAUAGAUUUCUUGUCCUUAAUAUCAUGUCUAGUCACCACAUUGAGCAAUCCAAAGUAA
Molecule: unclassified non-coding RNA, 558 nt
Filed under: Hevea brasiliensis (rubber tree)
Lineage: Eukaryota; Viridiplantae; Streptophyta; Magnoliopsida; Malpighiales; Euphorbiaceae
Source: RNAcentral